Molecule: long non-coding RNA, 1001 nt
Organism: Lutra lutra (Eurasian river otter)
Lineage: Eukaryota; Metazoa; Chordata; Mammalia; Carnivora; Mustelidae
Exons: 4
Source: RefSeq, a predicted model, not a curated record
GGACCCGCCUCCUACUCCCGCCCUCCGCGGGUAGCUACCGCUGGCCCCAAUCACCCACGUGGUCGAAGCCCGGCCCUGCCGGCUGGAGAGAAUCCCGGUAGUGUACGUGUUUUGGCUUGCGGGGUGUUUAAUUGUCGCCGGAGGGGACUUACUGCCAGCUGUCGAGUCUGGGGUCGUAUUUUGUGGAGUCGAAAGUGAAAUUUUACUUCGGCCGACGUGACAGGGCUUUGUUUGGUGGUAAAAAGAGUGGUAGAGCCCCCUCAUUCCACGGCCACCGGAGGGCGCGUUUCUCGGCUCUUGCUCUCCAAACCUGUUACAAAAGGAAUUCCUAGAUCCUAACGCCAGGCCACUGGGCACUUGUGUGGAAGUAAAAACAAAUACGACCAAGGCAAGAACGUACUCCCUCCUGCUUAGUCAGUCUGCCGCUUGGUGACCCUUCCACGUUCCCAGAGGGAUGAGCCCCAUCGUCCUUCACGUAACGCGGCCCAGACUGUGAGGGACCGUUGGCAGCCACAGACGGAACUGGAGAGCUGUUGGCUUCUAUUUUGAAAAAGCAGACAUGUAAUAAGUACGGAACUAAAUGAGAAACACUGAAGCACAGAAAAGUUAAGCCUCCUGCCAGAAGUAAAAUAUCUAGGUAAUUUACCUAGCGAGUGAUGAAGAGAAGCUAGGAUGCAGAUCCAGGCGGCCUGGCUCCAAAGCCCAGACCGAGCUCCUGGCAUCCUAACCCUUACUAGCUGAAUUGGUUUCCAGCCCAAGACAUUUGUUAUGCCUGUCCCAAAAGUUUAAGUGUCAUGUUAAGUGCUGGAAUGCUAAAAUUGUGAUGAAUAAAGCUACUUUCCAAGAAAAACGAGUAUCUUUUCAGGAUUUGGAUUUGACACCCCCCCCAGUGCCAUAUUUUGGGGUCCUACAGCCUUGAAACAUGCUUGAAAAGUCAUCUCUUACUACUUCAUCAGCAAAAUGGUGAUAAUGGUGUUUUAAGAUCCAGUUAGGUUGGGGUG